CAGGAGGCAGCAGUGGGGAAUAUUGCGCAAUGGGGGAAACCCUGACGCAGCGAUGCCGCGUGAGUGAAGAAGGCCUUCGGGUCGUAAAGCUCUGUCAAACGGGAAGAAUAGCUUCGGGGCUAAUAUCCUCGAGGUGUGACGGUACCGUUGAAGGAAGCACCGGCUAACUCCGUGCCAGCAGCCGCGGUAAGACGGAGGGUGCAAGCGUUAUUCGGAUUUAUUGGGCGUAAAGAGCAUGUAGGCGGUCGGCCAAGUCUGAUGUGAAAUCCCGGGGCUUAACCUCGGAAGGGCGUUGGAAACUGGUCGACUUGAGUUCGGGAGAGGAAAGCGGAAUUCCGGGUGUAGAGGUGAAAUUCGUAGAUAUCCGGAGGAACACCGGUGGCGAAGGCGGCUUUCUGGACCGAAACUGACGCUGAGAUGCGAAAGCGUGGGGAGCAAACAGGAUUAGAUACCCUCGUAC
This 460-nucleotide ribosomal RNA is filed under the name uncultured bacterium. Its description in RNAcentral is "bacterial SSU rRNA". It matches the Rfam family "Bacterial small subunit ribosomal RNA", at positions 342 to 793 of the family's 1533-position model. The record is from RNAcentral.